This 220-nucleotide ribosomal RNA is filed under the name uncultured bacterium. Its description in RNAcentral is "partial 16S ribosomal RNA". It matches the Rfam family "Bacterial small subunit ribosomal RNA", at positions 57 to 305 of the family's 1533-position model. The record is from RNAcentral.
GCAAGUCGAGCGCACCCUUCGGGGUGAGCGGCGGACGGGUUAGUAACGCGUGGGAAUAUGCCCUUCUCUAAGGAAUAGCUUCGGGAAACUGAGAGUAAUACCUUAUACGCCCUUCGGGGGAAAGAUUUAUCGGAGAAGGAUUAGCCCGCGUUGGAUUAGGUAGUUGGUGGGGUAAUGGCCUACCAAGCCUACGAUCCAUAGCUGGUUUGAGAGGAUGAUC